Molecule: long non-coding RNA, 385 nt
Organism: Miniopterus natalensis
Lineage: Eukaryota; Metazoa; Chordata; Mammalia; Chiroptera; Miniopteridae
Source: RefSeq, a predicted model, not a curated record
GAUAAUAAAUGUACAACAAACAAUCCAAUGUCAGAAAUGAUCACUAUUGCAAAAUGAGACUGAGAGCUUUUUUUUUUUUCUUUGCAAUUUCUACAGAUGAAAUCCCAACUCUGGCCACGGCCAAUAUUAGCUGGAUAAUUCUUUGAAUCUGGCUAAUGUGGAAUCUUGCCAAGGACAAAGAGGAUUUGCUCACUAACCGAGCAGUUUAGUGUCUCCAGGAGAUGCUUGAGGAGAGCUUUUAUGUACCCAGGAAUGAACUGCGAAUCAUUUAAGAGAAAUACUCGGAAGCCAUUAAGUGUGCCAGCUGCUCAGUGGGAGAAUCUGUAUCCCUGAGGGAACGCGGGGAAGAACGUCAUUGGAUCAUCUCCUUCGUUUAGCCUGUUCC